UACGGAGGGAGCUAGCGUUGUUCGGAAUUACUGGGCGUAAAGCGCACGUAGGCGGCUUUGUAAGUUAGAGGUGAAAGCCCGGGGCUCAACUCCGGAACUGCCUUUAAGACUGCAUCGCUUGAAUCCAGGAGAGGUGAGUGGAAUUCCGAGUGUAGAGGUGAAAUUCGUAGAUAUUAGGAAGAACACCGGUGGCGAAGGCGGCCCACUGGAUCGGUACUGACGCUGAGGUGCGAAAGCGUGGGGAGCAAACAGG
Molecule: ribosomal RNA, 253 nt
Filed under: uncultured bacterium
Lineage: Bacteria
Description: partial 16S ribosomal RNA
Rfam family: Bacterial small subunit ribosomal RNA
Source: RNAcentral